Molecule: small RNA, 88 nt
Organism: Eubacterium sp. CAG:161
Lineage: Bacteria; Bacillati; Bacillota; Clostridia; Eubacteriales; Eubacteriaceae
Rfam family: GA-cis RNA
Source: Rfam
AGGAGGAGGAAACUAAAUGAACGAAGUUCAUUUAUAGGAAUGUUUCCGACGAAUUGCCGCUGACCGAAGGGAGGGGGCGUUACAUUAU